Molecule: long non-coding RNA, 930 nt
Organism: Brassica napus (rape)
Lineage: Eukaryota; Viridiplantae; Streptophyta; Magnoliopsida; Brassicales; Brassicaceae
Exons: 4
Source: RefSeq, a predicted model, not a curated record
AGUAGUGAGGAAUGGUCAACUUUCAACCCUACGAAGCAUGGUUGUCUGAAGAAGAUUGAAAAGAAUGACCUUAGGAGAGCUUAAUGACUACAUGCUGAAAUCUCAACCUCAGGUAAACUGAGAACCCUUACAAAUUUGAGAUUCCUAAAUUCAAUCCGACGAAUAAGUGUUUUAACAAUAUCUCAAUAACUACACUCUACGGAGUUCAUUUUCACUGGUGUUCUGAGUGAAUAGAAAUAUGGUGCUACCACAAAUUGCAGCAUGGGUUCUCAUCAUUUUCAUGUGCUCCCUCCAAUGAGGAGAAUGCAAUUAGUUAUCAGGUGCUGUGUUCAAAUGACCAUGUCUGAUACAACCGAUAUUGCUGAAUUUGUUGCCUUUGACACUGUAAUAACUAAACUAACUAAUAUCUGCGCAGCAAACCCUGGUUUAUGUUGCACAAGACUUCCAGGAUUGGGACCUCCCACAAUGCCUACAGGAGAUUGUUGGGAGCACCUUAAACUUCCAAUUGAGUCUAUCUCACUUCAACUUCAGUCCAUACAUCAGAGUUUCGCUGUUUCCCGCAUUUUUUCACAACAACCAAUGCCCACUUCAGCUUAAUUUUGAGGUUAAUGGUGGGAAUGAAAUGCCGCAAGCAUGUUCUCUAGAGCAGUCCCGUGAAUCAGGGUGAAAGUGAUGGUAAUGGGAAUGUUGCAGGUGAAAGAGUGAGCCAUUAGAUCCAAGUCAAACAUCUAUUGAUGGGAGGAAUAUAAGCGAGGACGGGUCAGUGAAGGGGGAAGGUUCCUAUGGCAAGAAGCCACAGACUAACAAAGAACAAGUGGAGCUUCAGAUAGAAGACUGACAUGUCCUAUGUUUUUGUUUAAAAAUAAAACUACCAAACACUAUGGUUUACUUUUUCAUGGUGGACUUUUUAAUUGGUUUCAUAUUUUAACG